GAUGCCCUGAUGCUCCACCGGGGGAGCCCGGCCAACCCAAAAUGGCCCGCCGCACGCGGCGAAGGCGGGCGGGGGCUCUGAGGGUGGGGGAGAUGCAGCCAAGAGCGCAAUGGAAGCUGAAGCGGUAGCCCGGAUUUCAGCGGGAAACCGAGUCCCGGUGUAGAAGAGGGAGGGGACCCUGCGCGCCACCUGGGAACAAAAGAUGCGGCAAGGUGAAAAUGGCUGAAGAAUCCUGAAUUACUCUAGCAUCUCUUCACCCAGUGGCUCUACAAGACAACCAAUUAUAAGACAGAUGAAGUUUUCUUUAAUAUCUUUGAACCUCAGUUCUCUCAUCUAUGGAAUUAAGGAGCAAAAGAGCAGCCAGAGGUAGCCUCAAGGAGGCAGGAUGAUAAUUGAGGAGAGGUCUCCAUAUUCCCGCAUAGAAGUUUUCCAGGCUGUGCAGAGGCUAUGAGGGGGCAGGAAACUGCUUUCUUCUUGCACAGUGAGACGAUCCACUCUUUAAACCUUUCAGUUACAUGUGUAUUCACUUAACGCCUGUGAAAUGUGCAAGAGUUACUCCCAUUCCUCCUCCUUAUUAACCCCACUCUCUCUUUUGUCCCCGUGUACUAGGAGAUUCCAUCUAUGGGGUCGCAAAGAGUCGGACAGGACUGAAACGACUUAGCAGCAGCAGCAGCAGCAGGAGAUUUCUACCAUUUCUUGAAAUAAUUGCCAGGGUUAUGCCAGAUAUAUAGAUCAAUUAAGUCAAAUGAUGCCUCUGAAAACAAAUGGUAAGAAGAUAGUGUCAGCAGAUUUGAGCAUGAAAGCCUCACUUUUAGGUUGCUGGGGGAUUUUUUUGUGGUUUUUUUUUUUACCAUCACCAGACACUUGAUGAUGACAAUACCAUCCUUCAUAUGACUCCAUGUGCCAAAAAAUGUAGUUAAGAAUGUGCAUGCAUGCAUGUUAAGUCUCUUCAGUCUUGUCUGACUCUUUGUGACCCUAUGGACCGGAGCCCACCAGGCUCCUCUGUCCAUGGGAUUUUCCAGGCAAAAAUACCAAAGUGGGUUGCCAUGCCCUCCUCCAGGGCAUCUUCCCCAGCCAGGGAUCAAACCCGCAUCUCUUACCACUGGCGCCACUUGGAAAGUCCAAUUAAGAAUGUUGGUGCUCUGCUAGAAAAUGGCAAAUUAUAAUUGACCAUUCAUGUAAUUAGAAAAGGCAACCAAGAGGUUGAGAAUAGAUUUUGUGAUCAAAGAAACUUUGGGUGCUGAAAAUACCAUGGAGAUUAAGCCUCUGUUUACCUUCUGUUUAUUAAGGAUUAUGUUACCUUCUCUUCUUUACCAUUUAAGACAUGGGAAGCUGGGAGGGGACAUUCUCUUUCAGGCUACAUGUUUAACUUGCUUGUUCAGUUCCUCCUUAACAUUAGCAGGAUGAGAAAUUGUGUAUACACAUAAAACCUCGCAAAAAGAACAUCAUUCUCUUUUCUUUCUCAUACCAUCUCCACUCUCACCAAACUUUUCUGAGAUGAGCUAAAGUGAUUAAUGUAUUUCAUUUUGUAAAUGUACUUCUGGAAUUGUCCCUGGCACCCAGGAUUAUCCAAGGUAAAUAAGCAUCUCUUACAGCUUUUCUCUUAAUAAAGUGAAAAGUAAGUAUAGUUUAGAAGAAUUUCUGAAAUAAGAUUAUUGGGAUUUAUAAGGAACUUUCAUAAAAGAAUUUGACCUACUUAAAAGAAGUGGGACAGAAGUUUUCGGCACCUUUGUUGGUUCAAUUAACACUAGCUUCUAGAAUGGUGCAUUACAGAAGCCCUGGCACCUUUAGAAUGUCGAUCCAAACGCUGUGAUAACCACAGAAACAUUAGGAAGACCUCAGCAUUCAUUUGUAUUGUGACUACAACACGGUGUCCAGGCUUAAUGAACUUCUACCUUCUGAAUGGCUUAAUCUGAUGUUGCUGUUUUCAGACCACUGAAUCAACAACAAUACAAAGGUGAUUUUACACUGGUUACUCACACCUAAGGUCAUCACACUGGUGCCCUAGAUAGGUUAUUAAUUGUUUCCAUUUACAGCAUACUCCAGAAAACAGUUCCAGAUAGAGGGCCAACACUUGCAGCCAGGGAGUAGGUCACAGUGACUAGAGUCCAGGAAAACAGUUGAGUCACUGUGGGUGGAAGAGAUAAAACCUGCACUAGGACAGGAGUUAUGCUUCCCAUGAGCACCCAACCUUAUAACAAAUAUCAAAACUAAGGACAAAAAGUUAGGGUAGGAACCCUCAGAAGGCUGACAAGGUUGUACGUUCAUACAACCACUUCAAGAAUCUAUUUGGAAUUAUCUGCUAUACCUGAAAUUUUACACCAAGAGGCAUACAAAAAUGCUUAUGGUGGUGUUAUUUGUAACACCUCCCCCAAAUGGAAAGAACUCAAAGGUUCACAACAGAAGAAUGAGUUUUUUUAGUGUGACAUACAGUGUCUCCUACAUCCGAACCUUCAAGUUGCAAACUUGCAAAGAGGCGAACAUUCAUUUGCAUGUCCAGUCAUGUAAGUUAGUUCACGCAUCUGGUGUCCAUUGUCACAUGUGUGCCUCCUCUACAAGAGAUUCUGCUUUUGUGUACUUUACUGUACAGUACUGUACAGCACAUUGGAGUACUGGAUCUUUAUUUCAAGCCCAGGAUGUCUGGAAGCAAGAAGGUAGAUAGAACUAAAUCCAGCAAGGAACCAGAUACUGCGCCAUCGAUGUCAGUCAUGAGUAAAAUUACAGCUUGCCCUCCAUCUCCUAUUGCUGACAGUCCUUCAGCUCUACCAUUUCCCACCCCUCCUCCGGUCAGUUACUCUUCUUGCCUGUUCACUUGAUGCCAGCCCCUAUAUGCCGGCUGUCGUACUCUACUACUGUACUUAUCAAGAUACUGUCAGAUUUAAAAUGUUGUCUUUAUUUUUUGUGUUUGUUUUUUAUGUAUUACUUGUGUGAAAGCAUUAUAAACAUAUUAUAGUAUAGUACUGCAUAGCCGAUUGUGUUACUUGGGUACCUAGGCUAACUGUGGACUUUAGAACAAAUUGGACUUACAUUUUUACAUAGGGGACUUGCUGUAUUCAUCCAGUGGAAUGGUAUUCAGCAGUGAAAAUGAAAGAACUAUGGCUACUUGCAACCACUUGGAUGAAUCGCAUAAAGUGGCUAAGACUCUGCACUGCCACUGCUGAGCGACUAGGUUCAGUCUCUGGUCAGGGAACUAAGAUCCCACAAGCCACCUGGCAUAGCCAAAAAAAAUUCAAAAAUAGGUAAAACUCACCUAAGGAGGAGCUAUUGGGAAGGGAAUAAGGGGGCUUCAGAGCACUGGGAAAGCUUUCUGUCUGAAUGAUUACAUGAGAGAUUUCAUGUUGGUGAUAUUUCACCAAGCUGUACACAUAGAGUCUGUGUAUUCUUCUCUCUUUAAUGUUAGGCUUUAGUUGGGAAUGUUUCUUAGUGAAAGAACUAUGAAAUAUCUUGUCUCCAGAAAAAAAAUUGUGAGUGGGUCAAUAAAAUUCUACAUGUA
Long non-coding RNA from Cervus elaphus (red deer), 3493 nucleotides. RefSeq lists it as uncharacterized. NCBI's taxonomy places the organism in Eukaryota, Metazoa, Chordata, Mammalia, Artiodactyla, Cervidae. The transcript has 3 exons. The record is from RefSeq and is a predicted model, not a curated record.